GAUGAACGCUGGCUACAGGCUUAACACAUGCAAGUCGUGGGGAAACGGCAUUAUGUGCUUGCACAUUCUGGACGUCGACCGGCGCACGGGUGAGUAUCGCGUAUCCAACCUGCCCCUUACUUGGGGAUACCCCGUUGAAAGACGGCCUAAUACCCGAUGUGUUUCAUUGACAGCAUCCGAUAUGAAACAAAGGUUUUCUCCGGUAAGGGAUGGGGAUGCGUCUGAUUAGCGUGUUGGCGGGGCAACGGCCCACCAAGGCGACGAUCAGUAGGGGUUCUGAGAGGAAGGUCCCCCACAUUGGAACUGAGACACGGUCCAAACUCCUACGGGAGGCAGCAGUGAGGAAUAUUGGUCAAUGGACGCAAGUCUGAACCAGCCAAGUAGCGUGCAGGAUGACGGCCCUAUGGGUUGUAAACUGCUUUUAUGUGGGAAUAAAUUGGCGCACGUGUGCGCCAUUGCAUGUACCUCAUGAAUAAGGACCGGCUAAUUCCGUGCCAGCAGCCGCGGUAAUACGGAAGGUCCGGGCGUUAUCCGGAUUUAUUGGGUUUAAAGGGAGUGUAGGCGGUCUGUUAAGCGUGUUGUGAAAUUUAGGUGCUCAACAUUUAACUUGCAGCGCGAACUGUCAGACUUGAGUACACGCAGCGCAGGCGGAAUUCAUGGUGUAGCGGUGAAAUGCUUAGAUAUCAUGAGGAACUCCGAUCGCGAAGGCAGCCUGCGGGAGUGUUACUGACGCUUAAGCUCGAAGGUGCGGGUAUCGAACAGG
Molecule: ribosomal RNA, 763 nt
Filed under: Prevotella nigrescens
Lineage: Bacteria; Pseudomonadati; Bacteroidota; Bacteroidia; Bacteroidales; Prevotellaceae
Description: bacterial SSU rRNA
Rfam family: Bacterial small subunit ribosomal RNA
Source: RNAcentral